This 254-nucleotide ribosomal RNA is filed under the name uncultured bacterium. RNAcentral's name for it is "partial 16S ribosomal RNA". It matches the Rfam family "Bacterial small subunit ribosomal RNA", at positions 524 to 776 of the family's 1533-position model. The record is from RNAcentral.
UACGUAGGGACCAAGCGUUGUUCGGAUUUACUGGGCGUAAAGGGCGCGUAGGCGGCUUAACAAGUCACUUGUGAAAUCUCCGGGCUUAACUCGGAACGGCCAAGUGAAACUGUCAAGCUAGAGUGCAGAAGGGGCAAUCGGAAUUCUUGGUGUAGCGGUGAAAUGCGUAGAUAUCAAGAGGAACACCUGAGGUGAAGACGGGUUGCUGGGCUGACACUGACGCUGACAGCGCGAAAGCCAGGGGAGCAAACGGG